AGAGUUUGAUCAUGGCUCAGGAUGAACGCUAGCUACAGGCUUAACACAUGCAAGUCGAGGGGAAACGACAUCGAAAGCUUGCUUUUGAUGGGCGUCGACCGGCGCACGGGUGAGUAACGCGUAUCCAACCUGCCCACCACUUGGGGAUAACCUUGCGAAAGUAAGACUAAUACCCAAUGACGUCUCUAGAGGACAUCUGAAAGAGAUUAAAGAUUUAUCGGUGAUGGAUGGGGAUGCGUCUGAUUAGCUUGUUGGCGGGGUAACGGCCACAAGGCGACGAUCAGUAGGGUUCUGAGAGGAAGGUCCCCANAUUGGAACUGAGACACGGUCCAAACUCCGUACGGGAGGCCA
RNAcentral lists this ribosomal RNA (351 nucleotides) under uncultured bacterium. RNAcentral describes it as "bacterial SSU rRNA". It matches the Rfam family "Bacterial small subunit ribosomal RNA", at positions 8 to 351 of the family's 1533-position model. The record is from RNAcentral.